GAUGAACGCUAGCUACAGGCUUAACACAUGCAAGUCGAGGGGUAACGAGAGGAAAGCUUGCUUUCCUUGUCGACGACCGGCGCACGGGUGAGUAACGCGUAUCCAACCUGCCCCCAACUAGGGAAUAACCUUGCGAAAGUAAGACUAAUACCCUAUAAUUUCCUCAGAUGACAUCUGACGAGGAAUAAAGAUUUAUCGGUUGUGGAUGGGGAUGCGUCUGAUUAGCUUGUUGGCGGGGUAACGGCCCGCCAAGGCAACGAUCAGUAGGGGUUCUGAGAGGAAGGUCCCCCACAUUGGAACUGAGACACGGUCCAGACUCCUACGGGAGGCAGCAGUGAGGAAUAUUGGUCAAUGGGCGGAAGCCUGAACCAGCCAAGUAGCGUGCAGGAUGACGGCCCUAUGGGUUGUAAACUGCUUUUAUACAGGAAUAAAGUUAGCCACGUGUGGUUAUUUGUAGGUACUGUAUGAAUAAGGACCGGCUAAUUCCGUGCCAGCCGCCGCCGUAA
This 506-nucleotide ribosomal RNA is filed under the name uncultured bacterium. RNAcentral's name for it is "partial 16S ribosomal RNA". It matches the Rfam family "Bacterial small subunit ribosomal RNA", at positions 28 to 523 of the family's 1533-position model. The record is from RNAcentral.